This 455-nucleotide ribosomal RNA is filed under the name uncultured organism. Its description in RNAcentral is "partial 16S ribosomal RNA". It matches the Rfam family "Bacterial small subunit ribosomal RNA", at positions 330 to 801 of the family's 1533-position model. The record is from RNAcentral.
CGUACACUCCUGCGGGAGGCAGCAGUGGGGAAUAUUAGACAAUGGGCGCAAGCCUGAUCCAGCCAUGCCGCGUGAGUGAUGAAGGCCCUAGGGUUGUAAAGCUCUUUCACCGGUGAAGAUAAUGACGGUAACCGGAGAAGAAGCCCCGGCUAACUUCGUGCCAGCAGCCGCGGUAAUACGAAGGGGGCUAGCGUUGUUCGGAUUUACUGGGCGUGAAGCGCACGUAGGCGGACUAUUAAGUCAGGGGUGAAAUCCCGGGGCUCAACCCCGGAACUGCCUUUGAUACUGGUAGUCUUGAGUUCGAGAGAGGUGAGUGGAAUUCCGAGUGUAGAGGUGAAAUUCGUAGAUAUUCGGAGGAACACCAGUGGCGAAGGCGGCUCACUGGCUCGAUACUGACGCUGAGGUGCGAAAGCGUGGGGAGCAAACAGGAUUAGAAACCCUUGUAGUCCCAUGAU